RNAcentral lists this unclassified non-coding RNA (375 nucleotides) under uncultured bacterium. Its description in RNAcentral is "contains 16S-23S intergenic spacer region". The record is from RNAcentral.
UCCGGUUUUUCACCGGCAGUCCCCUUAGAGUGCCCAACUGAAUGCUGGCAACUAAGGGCAAGGGUUGCGCUCGUUGCGGGACUUAACCCAACAUCUCACGACACGAGCUGACGACGGCCAUGCAGCACCUGUCUUACAGUUCCCGAAGGCACCAAUCCAUCUCUGGAAAGUUCUGUAGAUGUCAAGGCCAGGUAAGGUUCUUCGCGUUGCAUCGAAUUAAACCACAUACUCCACCGCUUGUGCGGGCCCCCGUCAAUUCCUUUGAGUUUCAGUCUUGCGACCGUACUCCCCAGGCGGCAUACUUAUCGCGUUAGCUUCGGCACGGACAGACUGAACUGCCCACACCAAGUAUGCAUCGUUUAGGGCGUGGACUAC